GCCUCUUGNCCAAAUAUAAGAGGUCCAGCCUGCCCACUGACAUAGUUUAACGGCCGCGGUACCCUAACCGUGCGAAGGUAGCAUAAUCACUUGUUCUUUAAAUAAGGACUCGUAUCAACGGCAUCACGAGGACUAUACUGUCUCCUUUCUCCAAUCAGUGAAACUGAUCUCCCCGUGAAGAAGCGGGGAUUAACCUAUAAGACGAGAAGACCCCAUGGAGCUUAAAGCCCACAAACACCUCUACGCACUUAAACCAAUUUAGCCUAAGAGACCUGUAAGCCGGCUUUAGGUUGGGGGGACCGCGGAGAAAAACCUAACCUCCACGACAAACGGGCAAACGCCCUUAUCCAUGAAUUACAAUUCUAAGAAUCAAUAAACUGAUGUUUAAUGACCCGAUUAUUCGAUCAACGAACCAAGUUACCCUGGGGAUAACAGCGCAAUCUACUUUAAGAGCUCAUAUCGACAAGUAGGUUUACGACCUCGAUGUUGGAUCAGGGUAUCCCAGUGGUGUAGCCGCUACUAAAGGUUCGUUUGUUCAACGAUUAAAACCCUACGUGAUCUGAGUUCAGACCCCGGA
This 577-nucleotide ribosomal RNA is filed under the name Amolops ricketti (Chinese sucker frog). RNAcentral's name for it is "partial 16S ribosomal RNA". It matches the Rfam family "Bacterial large subunit ribosomal RNA", at positions 1830 to 2622 of the family's 2925-position model. Lineage: Eukaryota; Metazoa; Chordata; Amphibia; Anura; Ranidae. The record is from RNAcentral.